Molecule: ribosomal RNA, 497 nt
Filed under: uncultured bacterium
Lineage: Bacteria
Description: partial 16S ribosomal RNA
Rfam family: Bacterial small subunit ribosomal RNA
Source: RNAcentral
UAUGCACGCUGGCGGCGUGCCUAAUACAUGCAAGUCGAGCGAACAGACGAGGAGCUUGCUCCUCUGACGUUAGCGGCGGACGGGUGAGUAACACGUGGAUAACCUACCUAUAAGACUGGGAUAACUUCGGGAAACCGGAGCUAAUACCGGAUAAUAUAUUGAACCGCAUGGUUCAAUAGUGAAAGACGGUUUUGCUGUCACUUAUAGAUGGAUCCGCGCCGCAUUAGCUAGUUGGUAAGGUAACGGCUUACCAAGGCAACGAUGCGUAGCCGACCUGAGAGGGUGAUCGGCCACACUGUAACUGAGACACGGUCCAGACUCCUACGGGAGGAAGCAGUAGGGAAUCUUCCGCAAUGGGCGAAAGCCUGACGGAGCAACGCCGCGUGAGUGAUGAAGGUCUUCGGAUCGUAAAACUCUGUUAUUAGGGAAGAACAAAUGUGUAAGUAACUAUGCACGUCUUGACGGUACCUAAUCAGAAAGCCACGGCUAACUACGUG